This 253-nucleotide ribosomal RNA is filed under the name uncultured bacterium. RNAcentral's name for it is "partial 16S ribosomal RNA". It matches the Rfam family "Bacterial small subunit ribosomal RNA", at positions 524 to 776 of the family's 1533-position model. The record is from RNAcentral.
UACGAAGGGGGCUAGCGUUGUUCGGAUUUACUGGGCGUAAAGCGCACGUAGGCGGAUCGUUAAGUCGGGGGUGAAAUCCUGGAGCUCAACUCCAGAACUGCCUUCGAUACUGGCGAUCUUGAGUCCGGAAGAGGUGAGUGGAACUCCUAGUGUAGAGGUGGAAUUCGUAGAUAUUAGGAAGAACACCAGUGGCGAAGGCGGCGAUCUGGGAAGAUACUGACGCUGAGGUGCGAAAGCGUGGGGAGCAAACAGG